CAAAACAUGGGUAAAUGAUAUCCUCUCAUUGACAUUACAUGGUUGAUGAAAAGUAAACGUGGCUACGGGUCGUCCGCCUUUGUGAUGGAUGACUUGAUCGCUAUUUGACAGUGAUUGACUUUUCAUGAAGGAAGAUUGAAUGCUUACCAUGAAAUAGAAUAGGAUCAUAUUGGGAGAGCGGAUAUUAUCCCAAAGAGAUCAAU
Molecule: long non-coding RNA, 203 nt
Filed under: Gossypium barbadense (sea-island cotton)
Lineage: Eukaryota; Viridiplantae; Streptophyta; Magnoliopsida; Malvales; Malvaceae
Description: long non-coding RNA (GBAR_LNC022385)
Source: RNAcentral